Molecule: non-coding RNA, 771 nt
Organism: Monodelphis domestica (gray short-tailed opossum)
Lineage: Eukaryota; Metazoa; Chordata; Mammalia; Didelphimorphia; Didelphidae
Source: RefSeq, a predicted model, not a curated record
UAAACACAUUCAUAUUCUCUGAGAACUGGAAGUCUUCACAAAGCAAGAUCUUUGCUUGUGAGGAUAUUUGCCACCUAAUACCCUUUUGUUUUCUUUACUGAACUGUGCUUCCUCCCUCUUCCCCUUAAUUCUCUAUUACUGCUCUUAUUUUUCAGUUUUACCAUUUAAAGAUAUUUGUUAUAUAGAAGUGAUAAGUGAAGAUUUCAUGAUUUAAUGUCUUUGAAGGAAGAAUACUUUCAAAAUCUAAGACAAAUAGAAAACAAUUUGAUGGCUCUUGAAUUUUGAUCUUUGUCUGCCAUGAAGAUGUCCAUUUCUCUUAUUCUUCCUGUGAUAGAAGAUUGAAUGCCACCAUGAAGAUAGGUAGUAUAGUUGGUCCUAGAAAAUCCUGCUUCAGAUACUAUGAAGGGAUUUGGGGCAUCUGCAAUGGAUGAAAUAUUCGUACAUGAAAACAAAAAAUAGGAGAAGAAAUGAUACUAUAAAAUCAAUUGCUGGGCUCUAUGACUGUCAUCCAGAGGAGGAAAAGGUCAUUGUGGUUUGAGGACAACAAAGGAAAGCCAACUGGCAAAGUUAUAAUUAUACAACUGAGCUGUCUCUGUACUAGCUUCUGAAAGUGGAAAAUAGGCCUGAAGUUUGACCCAAUCUGAUAGAAGAAAAAAAGAAGACACGAGUUAAGGAUGAUACAUUGCACUGAGCUUUAAAUGUCUUUCUUGUUAGAUUCUAUCAAAACUUUAAUGUAUUUUAAGUGUAAGUUUUGUAUUGUAUUUUAUUGAA